This 530-nucleotide ribosomal RNA is filed under the name Neophytobius granatus. Its description in RNAcentral is "partial 16S ribosomal RNA". It matches the Rfam family "Bacterial large subunit ribosomal RNA", at positions 1809 to 2611 of the family's 2925-position model. The record is from RNAcentral. Lineage: Eukaryota; Metazoa; Arthropoda; Insecta; Coleoptera; Curculionidae.
AAAAACAUGGCUUUUUGAUUAUAAUUUAAAGUCCAGCCUGCCCAAUGAGUUUUCUUAAAUGGCCGCAGUAUCUUGACUGUGCAAAGGUAGCAUAAUCAAUAGUUUUUUAAUUGAAAGCUGGAAUGAAAGGUUUUAUGAGAAAAUAGCUGUCUCUAUAAAAAUUUAAUAGAACUUUAUUUUUAAGUUAAAAAGCUUAAAUGAUAAUAGAAGACGAGAAGACCCUAUAGAGUUUUAUAAUUUUGUAUAUUUUAAAUUUUAGUAUUUAUUAUUGUAAAUAUACAAAAUUAUUUGGUUGGGGUGAUUGGAAAAUUGAUUAAACUUUUUCUUAUUAAUACAUUUAUAUAUGAAAAUAUGAUCCUUAUUUGAAGAUUAAAAGAUAAAAUUACCUUAGGGAUAACAGCGUAAUUUUUUUUGAGAGUUCUUAUCGAAAAAAAAGAUUGCGACCUCGAUGUUGGAUUAAAAUUUAUUUAUGGUGUAGAAGCUAUAUAAUUAGGUCUGUUCGACCUUUAAAAUUUUACUUGAUCUGAGUC